RNAcentral lists this ribosomal RNA (492 nucleotides) under uncultured bacterium. RNAcentral's name for it is "partial 16S ribosomal RNA". It matches the Rfam family "Bacterial small subunit ribosomal RNA", at positions 29 to 507 of the family's 1533-position model. The record is from RNAcentral.
AGUGAACGCUGGCGGUAGGCCUAAUACAUGCAAGUCGAACGAACACACAGUAAGAGCUUUCCUUUAAGGGUGGCGAGUGACGGACGGGUGAGACAUACAUAGCAAUCUACUUUGUCGUGGGGGACAACGGAGGGAAAGUUAUGCUAAUACCGAAUACGACCUACGGGUGAAAUCAGUGGAUCUUCGGACCUUGCGCGAUUGAAUGAGACGACGUCGGAUUAGCUAGUUGGCGGGGUAAAGGCACACCAAGGCGACGAUACGUAGCUGAUCUGAGAGGAUGAUCAGCCACACUGGAACUGAGACACGGUCCAGACUCCUACGGGAGGCAGCAGUAGGGAAUAUUCGGCAAUGGGCGCAAGCCUGAUCCAGCAAUGCCGCGUGAGUGAUGAAGGUCUUCGGGUUGUAAAGCCCUGUUAUUAGGAAAGAAAAACAGCAUGAUAAUCUCUGGCUGUUCUGACGGUACCCAAAGAGUAAGCACCGGCUAACUUCGUG